This 109-nucleotide ribosomal RNA is filed under the name Ulva meridionalis. The record is from RNAcentral. Lineage: Eukaryota; Viridiplantae; Chlorophyta; Ulvophyceae; Ulvales; Ulvaceae.
AAUAAAUUCAUUGUUUUGUAUUAAAAAGACGGCACCAAACCCAUUUCGAACUUGACUUUGCCUAGCAAAGCAAUAGCCCAUAGCCGCAAAUGCGUGUGAACCGCUGUUG